UACGGGGGGAGCAAGCGUUGUUCGGAUUUACUGGGCGUAAAGGGCGCGUAGGCGGCCUACUAAGUCGGACGUGAAAUCCCUCGGCUCAACCGGGGAACUGCGUCCGAUACUGGUGGGCUUGAAUCCGGGAGAGGGAUGUGGAAUUCCAGGUGUAGCGGUGAAAUGCGUAGAUAUCUGGAGGAACACCGGUGGCGAAGGCGGCAUCCUGGACCGGGUAUUGACGCUGAUGCGCGAAAGCGUGGGGAGCAAACAGG
This 254-nucleotide ribosomal RNA is filed under the name uncultured bacterium. RNAcentral describes it as "partial 16S ribosomal RNA". It matches the Rfam family "Bacterial small subunit ribosomal RNA", at positions 524 to 776 of the family's 1533-position model. The record is from RNAcentral.